UACGGAGGAUGCGAGCGUUAUCCGGAUUUAUUGGGUUUAAAGGGUGCGUAGGCGGACUGUCAAGUCAGCGGUAAAAUUGAGAGGAUCAACCUCUUCCCGCCGUUGAAACUGGUGGUCUUGAGUGGAUGAGAAGUACGCGGAAUGCGUGGUGUAGCGGUGAAAUGCAUAGAUAUCACGCAGAACUCCGAUUGCGAAGGCAGCGUACCGGCAUCCAACUGACGCUGAGGCUCGAAAGCGUGGGGAGCAAACAGG
RNAcentral lists this ribosomal RNA (252 nucleotides) under uncultured bacterium. RNAcentral's name for it is "partial 16S ribosomal RNA". It matches the Rfam family "Bacterial small subunit ribosomal RNA", at positions 524 to 776 of the family's 1533-position model. The record is from RNAcentral.